GCGUAAGAAUCUACCUUUAGGAAAGAAUAACAACUGGAAACGGUUGCUAAUACUUUAUAAGCUGAGAAGUAAAGGAAUACCGCCUAAAGAUGAGCUUGCGUCUGAUUAGUUUGUUGGUAGAGUAAAGCCUACCAAGACAACAAUCAGUAACUGGUCUGAGAGGACGAUCAGCCACACUGGGACUGAGACACGGCCCAGACUUCUACGGAAGGCAGCAGUAAGGAAUUUUCCGCAAUGGGCGAAAGCCUGACGGAGCAAUGCCGCGUGAAGGAUGACAAUCUACGGAUUGUAAACUUCUUU
RNAcentral lists this ribosomal RNA (300 nucleotides) under uncultured cyanobacterium. RNAcentral's name for it is "bacterial SSU rRNA". It matches the Rfam family "Bacterial small subunit ribosomal RNA", at positions 115 to 436 of the family's 1533-position model. Lineage: Bacteria; Bacillati; Cyanobacteriota. The record is from RNAcentral.